GGCCUUAUCGUCUAGUGGUUAGGACGCCAGGUUCUCAUCCUGGUAACCGGGGUUCGACUCCCCGUGGGGCUACCA
This 75-nucleotide transfer RNA is filed under the name Candidatus Jacksonbacteria bacterium RIFCSPHIGHO2_02_FULL_43_10. RNAcentral's name for it is "tRNA-Glu". It matches the Rfam family "tRNA". Rfam says of the family: Transfer RNA (tRNA) molecules are approximately 80 nucleotides in length. Their secondary structure includes four short double-helical elements and three loops (D, anti-codon, and T loops). RNAcentral also lists the same sequence under 3 other names. Lineage: Bacteria; Candidatus Jacksoniibacteriota. The record is from RNAcentral.